This is a long non-coding RNA of Marmota monax (woodchuck), 2336 nucleotides long. RefSeq lists it as uncharacterized. NCBI's taxonomy places the organism in Eukaryota, Metazoa, Chordata, Mammalia, Rodentia, Sciuridae. The transcript has 2 exons. The record is from RefSeq and is a predicted model, not a curated record.
CCAGCACGACCUCCACUGAGUUAUUGGAGGCUUGAAUCCAGGAUCCCGCCCCCUGGGCAGCUCUGGCCGCCGCCAGCCCCGCCCCACAGGCGGCACGCUGGGGGCUGGCUCCACCCCGAGAAGGUUCCGCCCCUAGAGGACACCUCCUUCCCCUCCAGCCUCCAGAGGAGGCCCUAGGAGAAGAGGGCGGUCCCUGACGCUAAAAGUGGCGGCUGCGGUGUUGAGUAAGCAGGGCGCAGGGCUGUAAAGGCCUGGCCUGUUUCCCCACCCCCUCCCGCAAGACUCCAACCGCUCUCCUUGUCGUGCUUCAGCGGAUCAAGAAGAUUCUCCCGUGCCUCAUCUCCACGUUCAGUAAGGUUUUGGUUAAUAUCUACCUGUUCCACACUGUGACCUCCAGGAAGCUGGUCCACGUGUCCGCAGGAUUCUGACCCUGGUCAGACACAGAACAACUGUCCAGAUACCAGGAAUGAAGGAUACAUGGCAUUGUUGGGAAUAUGUGUGACUGUGUGAAUGUGCCACGGUGUGGGCAAACCUGUGUAUCAGCGGACAUGACCAUAUGUGGGACAAUAUGCAUGUGAGUUAGUGAGUGUGAUGGGAUGCCACUGAAAAAGAUGCAAUCCUGACGCCAUAUGACAGUGAGACGUGGGGGAAACAGCACACUCUUGGCUGCCCCUGUGCCAAACUGGCUUUUCUUCACCCACCAGAGACGGAGAAACAGACAUAGAGGUACCCUUGGCCACCUGCAUGUGCACACUUGUGUAACUGGCUGCUCUUUGCACUCUCAACCAGUUCUGCUCUCUGCUCCAGUGGCUGAGUCAGCUUGGCAGCCCACAGGAGUGGAAAACUUCAACCCCUGGACCAAGAAAGCAGUCUGGAAGGGUCCCGAGCACCCUGAGUCAGGCUGGGGUCCUUCAGGUCUACACCCACCUGUGUGUCCGAUGGAGUGGAAGCACCUCACGGUAAAAGAUGGGGGAGUUUCCUGGGGUAAGACCAACCAAGACUGUGACAUUGGGGUCUCCCAAGAGCCAGGAAGUUUGCUCAGGGGGGCCAGGCAGUCCCACAUACAAUAGCAGCAUGAACAAUAAUACACCUAGGCCCAGCAGAGCAGCCUUGUACCGGCUCACGCAGGUCUGUACCGCAGUCUGGAGGAGGAGGGAGAAGGAAAAGAAGCAAGGCUGAGCCCCUACAAGGUGUCUGGACCCAUCCCCAAACCCCAACCUGAAGUCCCUACAGAGAAAGAUCUGCAACUCUGGCCCUUCCUUUGCUCUGGACAAAAGACUGGUGGUUCAAUACCCAGCCACUCCAUAUGCCAGGACAAAGGCUCAAAGUGUGAGGAGGUGCAUCCGAGUUGUCCCUCUAGCACACAGCAGGCUCAGUGACCAUCAUCCCUGAUAAUUAAACUUACUUCAAGCUCUUAUGACAGCAGGCUCCUGCUCAGCCCCCCACAACAAGGAGGUCCAUAAAGAACACUAAAGAAGAUAUAAUUACAGGUCUCUUACAAAUGAGGAAAUUCAGGUUUGGAGAGGUGAAUUCUAUUGCUCAAGUAGCCCAAAGCGGGAACUGGGAUUUGAACCCAGGGCUGGACUCCUAACCAUCAGGUCACACUUGGUUUGGAAGAAGGAAAGCAUGGAAAUGGGAGGCAAUGGAUGAACUGAAGCCCCUCUACUGGAUAGAGUGGUGAGGGCUAUCCAAGGAGGAAGACUAUUUGAAGAGACCACCUUCUGAGGGCAGGCUCGGAAAUAGUUCAUUUUAUUACUCUGUAUAUAAUACUGCUAAAAUCAGAAUGUGUUUUAUGGUUGAUGGGAAUAUUUAAUGGCUGACCACAGCUGUUUUGGGGAAGCUCACAGACAAUGUUGGUGAUGGAGGAAAUGCAGAGGCCUGAGCCGGUGUGGGGCCAGGGAGGAGUGUGGUUCACCUAGAAAUGGAAAAGGCAGCUGGAGGUUGGAGAGAUGAAUGUCCCCACCCCCAUAUACAGACACACAUACAGCUUCACACCAAAUGACCUGCUUCAUGGACUCCUCCAGCACAGGGCCUUUGCCAGCCCAGGGACAGAGCCCAAGCAGGUCAGGUAGAGCUGGCUUUAAAACAGGUCUCUGCCAAUUCCUGACCCUGAGUCUUCAGUAUGUCAGUAAAGUGGGAUAAUUCUGGUUGCUCUCUCAAGUCUCCUGUGAGAUUUCAAUAAUACAGGGGACUUAAGGGAAGGUGGGCUCUGUCCCUGUCCUCAUUUCUUGGGCCUAGGAUGAGCACGGCCUGCCUUCUCCUAGGAUUCUAGUAAAUAAUCUUUCUUUUCUUUUCAUAUUUAUUUUUUAGUUGGACACAAUAUAUAUAUUUAUUUA